CGAACAAAGCUGAUAGAAGCCCACCAUAAAAGAGUGCUAUAAUAAUAUUCCACAAAAACGUUGCCAACGAAUGAAUCAUUCCCGCAUCCUUCCUCUACGCACGCCAUUUUGUCGCGUCGAAUGUUGUCGUAAAAGUCAAGCACCGUUGGUUAACGGCGGACUCCCAUCCGCUUUGCAGUAAAACACUUAAAAGCGUUGGUUAGAACGUCUGGUUUCUUUUCCGUCGAACUCACCUGCCCCGGUGCCGCAGCACGGCGGGAUCCACCAGGCGGACGAGAACAAGGUGCUCAUCACCUCCUCGGGGAAGAGCGUGACGUUGCGUUGGAUUUGCAGCAAGUUGAGCACCAGGGCGAGGAUCACCCCCACGGCGAACAGCACCAGGCCGCGGCGGAUCAAGUUGAACGUCCGGUGGCGGUGCAGCGAGCCGCAGGCGCUGCUCAGCACCGACGUGAUGAUGGACAUCAUUUCCUCGCCUUUGGACGCCAACCAGUUGGUCGCAGACCACAACGGCGAGUGUUCGCGUUCCAAGUGGGAGAAGCUCCAAUAGUGCUCCUCCAGGCUGGACAUUUGGCACUGAAGGGGGAAAAAAAGGCCGUUCGUCUAUGGCAACUGAUUUGGAACUAGGAAGCACACCAAUUCCAAUGAAAGCGACCCACCUUAACUCGCCUAUGAAUACGUCAACAAUGUCACCAUCAAGCACACCAACGUGAUUUGGAAAGGUGCACAUACCAGUGUAAAAAACAGUCCAAUUCCUCUACCAACAACUACCGU
Long non-coding RNA from Phycodurus eques (leafy seadragon), 771 nucleotides. RefSeq lists it as uncharacterized. The transcript has 3 exons. The record is from RefSeq and is a predicted model, not a curated record. Lineage: Eukaryota; Metazoa; Chordata; Actinopteri; Syngnathiformes; Syngnathidae.